UAGACCUUCAAAGUAGAUAUGAUAUGAUUUUUUUUGUUACACAUCUAUCAUAUCAUAUCUACUUUGAAGGUCUACU
This 76-nucleotide small RNA is filed under the name Mytilus galloprovincialis (Mediterranean mussel). Lineage: Eukaryota; Metazoa; Mollusca; Bivalvia; Mytilida; Mytilidae. The record is from RNAcentral.